RNAcentral lists this transfer RNA (67 nucleotides) under Sceliphron madraspatanum. Its description in RNAcentral is "tRNA-Gln". Lineage: Eukaryota; Metazoa; Arthropoda; Insecta; Hymenoptera; Sphecidae. The record is from RNAcentral.
UAUAUUUUAGUGUAAAUCACAGAAUUUUUUGAAUAUUCAAAAAAUAGAUAAUAACUAUUAAAUAUAA